UCACUAGCGGAGGAGAAAGAGACUCUCUCUGAUUUCCCCACUAUCUGCGAGAGAGAGGGAGAGAUCUUCUUUGGGUCUGGCACAGUGUUCACUGUGUGCGUUGUAGAUGUGAAGUAGUCCCUCUGGGUGCACGGCGUCCCCGUGCACUAGACCGUCACAGUGACAUAAUAGAGAGUGACACUACCCUCUCCGAGACCACUGUGCAAGUCUGUUUUGAUAGGUAUAUCUGAGAGUGGAGCACAGUGGGAUAUUCGGCGUUAACACGGGAGAUAGAUUCUUUUUCAAGAUAAAUACACGCGAGAGACCGAUAGAGAACACGUACAGCAAGGGAAAGAGGAAAUAGCACUCUCUGAAAGGAGUCAAAAGACGUGAAAAUGUUGCGAGAGAAGAGAUUCAAGUCUGCGCAGCUAGGCCCCUCAAGCCUCUUGCUUUGGACUAGAUUUGCCCGCGGUCUUGUCUUAAGAGACUUGAGUUUUAUGUCCAACCUGGUAAGCACCGGUAGCCCCUCCUCGGGGCCAGUGACAUGGCUGGUGGAAUGGCUUGCAAUCGACCCGUCUUGAAACACGGACCAAGGAGUCUAACAUGUAUGCGAGUAUAAGGGUGGCAAACCCGUAUGCGCAAUGAAAGUGAUUUUCGGUGAUUGAGAAUGGCCUGAUGACCAGACAAGCAAUAUUAUGUCCCUCGUACGGCCAUUGCCCAAGUUCCGUGGUAGAUCCCACGAACAUGGAGUUGGAGCAUACAUGCUAGGACCCGAAAGAUGGUGAACUAUGCCUGGACAAAGUGAAGCCAAAGGAAACUCUGGUGGAGGCUUGUAGCGAUUCUGACGUGCAAAUCGAUCGUCUGAUCUGGGUAUAGGGGCGAAAGACUAAUCGAACCUCCC
Molecule: ribosomal RNA, 880 nt
Filed under: Cantharellus versicolor
Lineage: Eukaryota; Fungi; Basidiomycota; Agaricomycetes; Cantharellales; Hydnaceae
Description: partial large subunit ribosomal RNA
Rfam family: Eukaryotic large subunit ribosomal RNA
Source: RNAcentral